UACGUAGGGGGCAAGCGUUGUCCGGAAUCAUUGGGCGUAAAGCGCGCGUAGGUGGCCUCAUAAGUCCGCUGUGAAAGUCAAAGGCUCAACCUUUGAAAGCCGGUGGAUACUGUGAGGCUAGAGUACGGAAGAGGCGAGUGGAAUUCCUGGUGUAGCGGUGGAAUGCGCAGAUAUCAGGAGGAACACCAAUAGCGAAGGCAGCUCGCUGGGACGUUACUGACACUAAGGCGCGAAAGCGUGGGGAGCGAACAGG
Molecule: ribosomal RNA, 253 nt
Filed under: uncultured bacterium
Lineage: Bacteria
Description: partial 16S ribosomal RNA
Rfam family: Bacterial small subunit ribosomal RNA
Source: RNAcentral